CUUUAAAUAAAUUUCUUCGAAAUAUUUUUUUUUUUUGAAAGAGAUAGGUAGCACGCUACCCGCUUCGUUUAUUUCAUUAAGAAAUAAACUUAGCUAGAAAUGUGAAUCAACUAGGAUUCGAACUUGGGACCUCGGGUACCAACCACCAAGUCCUUUGCCACUUGCUCUAGGGACGGUCGGUUUUGAAAUAUUCUUGGUAAGGAUGCCUUUGGUGA
RNAcentral lists this long non-coding RNA (215 nucleotides) under Ananas comosus (pineapple). RNAcentral describes it as "long non-coding RNA (ACOM_LNC004651)". The record is from RNAcentral. Lineage: Eukaryota; Viridiplantae; Streptophyta; Magnoliopsida; Poales; Bromeliaceae.